This is a long non-coding RNA of Sinocyclocheilus anshuiensis, 596 nucleotides long. RefSeq lists it as uncharacterized. The transcript is spliced from 4 exons. NCBI's taxonomy places the organism in Eukaryota, Metazoa, Chordata, Actinopteri, Cypriniformes, Cyprinidae. The record is from RefSeq and is a predicted model, not a curated record.
UUUGAAAAAUUCUCCUGGCGCUCUACUGACGCCAUUUUCAAGUGAGUGCGCGCUUCUCUUCAGUUCGCAUUGUAUAUGCUGGGGAGAGGAAUGUCUUUAUGGAAUGCCCAAGAAAGAGAGUUAUGAACUUUAUUCAUGUUAAUCCACAGACAGAGUGAAGUUAAUGCUGGGCGUGGCUGUAAAUAAAUCCUCUUUUGGUGAACAGAAGUGAAAGUGUCCUGGGUCUUCUUACACACAACGCAGAUGAUGGUGGGGACCAACAUGGUGGAGUAUUUACAGAAUGCAGACGACUGGAGCAUCGUUCCACAUUUUGUGCCUUGGAGACGAGACCAGGUGGAUGUGCCAGACUUGCCAGGCCACAACAUUGAGAGACUCUUUGCUGGAGACUGAUUGUUUAUUUUAAAGCUUUUUUGUGUGUGUUUGAUGUUAAUUACACAAAGCAGUGUCCCCCUACUUUGAAGUUUCUCCAGCAUGCUGUGUAUGAGAUUGAUGGAUAUGAGUUAUCAUCUGUUAAUUUUUUUAGGACAACAGUUUUCACGUUUAAUCAUCCUUUUAAAGUUUGCUUUUGUUGCAGGGCUCCUUGUCUGUGGGGGAGG